ACCAGACUCCUACGGGAGGCAGCAGUGGGGAAUAUUGCACAAUGGGGGAAACCCUGAUGCAGCAACGCCGCGUGAGUGAAGAAGUAUUUCGGUAUGUAAAGCUCUAUCAGCAGGGAAGAGAAUGACGGUAUCUGACUAAGAAGCCCCGGCUAACUACGUGCCAGCAGCCGCGGUAAUACGUAGGGGGCGAGCGUUAUCCGGAUUCACUGGGUGUAAAGGGAGCGUAGACGGCCAUGCAAGCCAGGGGUGAAAGCCCGGGGCCCAACCCCGGGACUGCCCUUGGAACUGCAUGGCUGGAGUGCGGGAGGGGCAGGCGGAAUUCCUGGUGUAGCGGUGAAAUGCGUAGAUAUCAGGAGGAACACCGGCGGCGAAGGCGGCCUGCUGGACCGUAACUGACGUUGAGGCUCGAGAGCAUGGGGAGCAAACAGGAUUAGAUACCCCAGUA
Molecule: ribosomal RNA, 445 nt
Filed under: uncultured bacterium
Lineage: Bacteria
Description: bacterial SSU rRNA
Rfam family: Bacterial small subunit ribosomal RNA
Source: RNAcentral